CGGUCCACGCCGUAAAACCCCCCACUAUUCCAAGGUUGACCUCAGAUCAGGUAGGAAUACCCGCUGAACUUAAGCAUAUCAAUAAGCGGA
RNAcentral lists this ribosomal RNA (90 nucleotides) under Acremonium stroudii. RNAcentral describes it as "partial 28S large subunit ribosomal RNA". The stretch from base 37 to 90 matches the Rfam family "Eukaryotic large subunit ribosomal RNA", at positions 1 to 54 of the family's 3401-position model. The record is from RNAcentral. Lineage: Eukaryota; Fungi; Ascomycota; Sordariomycetes; Hypocreales; Bionectriaceae.